CUAUCAGGUAGUAGUGGGUGUAGCGUACCUACUAGCCUACGACGGGUACGGGUUGUGAGAGCAAGAGCCCGGAGAUGGAUUCUGAGACACGAAUCCAGGCCCUACGGGGUGCAGCAGGCGCGAAAACUUUACAAUGCCGGCAACGGCGAUAAGGGGACCUCGAGUGCCAGGUUACAAAUCUGGCUGUCGUGAUGCCUAAAAAGCAUUGCAUAGCAAGGGCCGGGCAAGACCGGUGCCAGCCGCCGCGGUAACACCGGCGGCUCGAGUGGUAACCGUUAUUAUUGGGUCUAAAGGGUCUGUAGCCGGCCGGAUAAGUCUCUUGGGAAAUCCAGCAGCUCAACUGUUGGGCUUUCAGGAGAUACUGUCUGGCUCGAGGCCGGGAGAGGUGAGAGGUACUUCAGGGGUAGGGGUGAAAUCUUGUAAUCCUUGAAGGACCACCAGUGGCGAAGGCGUCUCACCAGAACGGACCUGACGGCAAGGGACGAAAGCUAGGGGCACGAACCGGAUUAGAUACCCGGGUAGUCCUAGCCGUAAACGAUACUCGCUAGGUGUCGGCCACGGUGCGACCGUUGUCGGUGCCGUAGGGAAGCCGUGAAGCGAG
This 601-nucleotide ribosomal RNA is filed under the name uncultured archaeon. RNAcentral's name for it is "bacterial SSU rRNA". It matches the Rfam family "Archaeal small subunit ribosomal RNA", at positions 222 to 823 of the family's 1478-position model. The record is from RNAcentral.